This 501-nucleotide ribosomal RNA is filed under the name uncultured bacterium. RNAcentral describes it as "bacterial SSU rRNA". It matches the Rfam family "Bacterial small subunit ribosomal RNA", at positions 29 to 508 of the family's 1533-position model. The record is from RNAcentral.
AACGAACGCUGGCGGCGUGGAUAAGACAUGCAAGUCGAACGGAUUCGUUGUCGUAGCAAUACGAUGGCGGGUCAGUGGCGCAAGGGUGCGUAACACGUGGGCAAUCUGCCCUGGAGUUUGGGAUAGCCCGCCGAAAGGCGGAUUAAUACCGGAUGUGGCUACCUGCCGAUUGGUGGGGACGCUAAAGGUGGCGCAAGCUGCCGCUCCUGGAUGGGCCCGCGGCCUAUCAGCUUGUUGGUGAGGUAACGGCUCACCAAGGCUAUGACGGGUAGCUGGUCUGAGAGGACGACCAGCCACACUGGAACUGAGACACGGUCCAGACACCUACGGGUGGCAGCAGUCGAGAAUUUUUCGCAAUGGGGGAAACCCUGACGGAGCGACGCCGCGUGGAGGAUGAAGGUCUUCGGAUUGUAAACUCCUGUCAUUGGUGAACAAAGUACUGAGGUUAACUGCCUUGGUGCCUGCUAGUAGCCGAAGAGGAAGGGACGGCUAACUCUGUGC